RNAcentral lists this ribosomal RNA (216 nucleotides) under Campeiostachys nutans. Its description in RNAcentral is "Elymus nutans partial small subunit ribosomal RNA". The stretch from base 40 to 216 matches the Rfam family "Eukaryotic small subunit ribosomal RNA", at positions 686 to 864 of the family's 1831-position model. Lineage: Eukaryota; Viridiplantae; Streptophyta; Magnoliopsida; Poales; Poaceae. The record is from RNAcentral.
GGAUCAAUUAAUUGGUCGUGCCUCUGGUACGUACUGAUCUUAUUGGUUUCUCCCUUCUGACGAACCAUGAUGUCAUUAAUUUGGUGUUGCGGGGAAUUUGGACUGUUACUUUGAAAAAAUUAGAGUGUUUAAAGCAAGCUAACGCUUGAAUACAUUAGCAUGGAAUAAUGAAAUAGGACGUUCGAUCCUAUUUUGUUGGUUUCUAGGAUUGACGUA